GAUGAAGAACGCAGUAAAAUGCGAUAAGUAAUGUGAAUUGCAGAAUUCAGUGAAUCAUCGAAUCUUUGAACGCACAUUGCGCCCGCCAGUAUUCUGGCGGGCAUGCCUGUUCGAGCGUCAUUUCAACCCUCAAGCCCUCGGGUUUGGUGUUGGGGAUCGGCGAGCCUUUCUGGCAAGCCGGCCCCGAAAUCUAGUGGCGGUCUCGCUGCAGCCUCCAUUGCGUAGUAGUAAAACCCUCGCAACUGGAACGCGGCGCGGCCAAGCCGUUAAACCCCCAACUUCUGAAUGUUGACCUCGGAUCAGGUAGGAAUACCCGCUGAACUUAAGCAUAUUAAUAAGCGGAGGA
RNAcentral lists this unclassified non-coding RNA (346 nucleotides) under soil metagenome. RNAcentral's name for it is "partial contains 5.8S ribosomal RNA, internal transcribed spacer 2, and large subunit ribosomal RNA". The stretch from base 1 to 120 matches the Rfam family "5.8S ribosomal RNA", at positions 35 to 154 of the family's 154-position model. The record is from RNAcentral.